RNAcentral lists this small RNA (298 nucleotides) under Octodon degus (degu). RNAcentral describes it as "7SK RNA (ENSODEG00000024048.1)". It matches the Rfam family "7SK RNA", at positions 1 to 250 of the family's 331-position model. From Rfam's summary of the family: 7SK was discovered as an abundant small nuclear RNA in the mid-70s but a possible function has only recently been suggested. Two independent studies have found that 7SK RNA binds the CDK9/cyclin T complex (known as elongation factor P-TEFb). Lineage: Eukaryota; Metazoa; Chordata; Mammalia; Rodentia; Octodontidae. The record is from RNAcentral.
GGAUGUGAGGGGGAUCUGGCUGCGACAUCUGUCACCCCAUUGGUCUCCAGUGUUGAUUCAGCCGAUCUGGAUGGCUAGGCAGAUGUCCCCUUCCCCCCUCAACGAUCCAUGUGUGUCCCUCCCAAAGCUUUGUGCUUGGUCUAAGAGGGUGACCAUCCCUGCGAGAGGAGGACCAUUCUUGGUCAAGGAUAUAUGAAUAGCUGCGCUCCCCUGCCAGAACCUCCAAACAAGCUCACAUCAACAUUCCCUUAGUCUCUGCUCACCUCUUUUUUCUGAAGACCAUGACAAGUGCCCCCUU